RNAcentral lists this long non-coding RNA (501 nucleotides) under Carica papaya (papaya). Its description in RNAcentral is "long non-coding RNA (CPAP_LNC006508)". Lineage: Eukaryota; Viridiplantae; Streptophyta; Magnoliopsida; Brassicales; Caricaceae. The record is from RNAcentral.
UUGGUUACUUAUCAUGUAAUUUUUGCAACCACUAUCUAGAUACCAAAUAUUAUUAUUUCCUUCUGUUACAAUAUGGUAUGUAAAAAAAAAAUGUUUUUUGUAUUCUCUAUAUCUUCUACGAAAUUUGCAAAAUCACGAAUUUGACUUUUGCAGUAUUUUACAAUAUGGCCGCUUUGCUUGCAUUUGUUGCAACGUAUCUUCUUCCAACAUCUCAACGUACUGUGAUUUGAUUUUGUAAUAUAUCACACCAUAUAUUUGGACUCGAACCUGCUUCUCUCUCAAUUUAAUUUUGUUGCGUCUCCAUAUCCUGUUCACUUUUUCUCUGCGAAUUUCUUUGAUUCGUCAAAGAAUUUUGAGUUCUAAAACUUGUACAAAAAGCAAUUUCAAUAGAGUUGCUCUCAUUCUAUAAUUUUUUUACCUCGUGUGAUUCCAACGUACUCAUUAAUUAUUGAAUUGUAAGAGUAGACAAAUCUUUUGACUCUUUAAAUGUUGCAACAAUAU